CUCUACCUUCUAAGUCAGAUGUUGUAUACCUACCGGGUAUACUUCCAGUACAGAGGUGUAAAGGAUUCCGUUUCCUUGCUGUAUAGCAAAAAGUAAAUCAUGUGACUGCCGGCGGUAGAGAAAAUUCGAGGCUCGCAAUGCACAU
This 145-nucleotide non-coding RNA is filed under the name unclassified sequences. RNAcentral describes it as "RT-14 RNA". It matches the Rfam family "RT-14 RNA". Rfam says of the family: Cloacimonetes, Firmicutes, Proteobacteria. Nearby to self-splicing intron genes The record is from Rfam by way of RNAcentral.